GACGAACGCUGGCGGCGUGCUUAACACAUGCAAGUCGAGCGGAAAGACCCUGCUUUUGUUGCGUGCUCGAGUGGCGAAGGGGUGAGUAAAACGUGUGUAACCUGCCCUUGACUUUGUGAUAACAUCAGGGAACUCGGGCUCAUACCGGAUAGGAGCUCCUGCUGCAUGGUGGUGAUUGGUAAGUGUCGGCGGUUGGGGAUGGACUCGCGGGUUAUCAGCUUGUUGGUGUGGUAGGGGCUUACCAGGGCUUUGACGGGUAGCCGGCCUGAGAGGGGGACCGGCGUCAUUGGGACUGCGAUACGGCGCAGUCGCCUAUGGGACGCAGCAGUGGGGAAUAUUGCGGAAUGGGCCGAAGCCUGAGGUAGCAACGUCCCGUGCGGGAUGACCUCCUUCUGGGGGUAAACCGCUUUCGCCUUAGAUGAAGCGUGAUUGACGGUAAUGGGUAAAGAAGCACCGGCUAACUACGUG
Molecule: ribosomal RNA, 468 nt
Filed under: uncultured bacterium
Lineage: Bacteria
Description: partial 16S ribosomal RNA
Rfam family: Bacterial small subunit ribosomal RNA
Source: RNAcentral